RNAcentral lists this ribosomal RNA (253 nucleotides) under uncultured bacterium. RNAcentral's name for it is "partial 16S ribosomal RNA". It matches the Rfam family "Bacterial small subunit ribosomal RNA", at positions 524 to 776 of the family's 1533-position model. The record is from RNAcentral.
UACGUAGGGUGCAAGCGUUGUCCGGAUUUACUGGGCGUAAAGAGCGCGCAGGCGGUCGUUCAAGUCGCGUGUGAAAGCCCCCGGCUCAACUGGGGAGGGUCACGCGAUACUGAUCGACUCGAAGGCAGGAGAGGGUAGUGGAAUUCCCGGUGUAGUGGUGAAAUGCGUAGAUAUCGGGAGGAACACCAGUGGCGAAGGCGGGUCUCUGGACAGUUCCUGACGCUGAGGCACGAAGGUCAGGGGAGCAAACGGG